GACGAACGCUGGCGGCGUGCUUAACACAUGCAAGUCGAACGAUGAAGCCGGAGCUUGCUCUGGUGAAUUAGUGGCGAACGGGUGAGUAACACGUGAGUAACCUGCCCUUGACUCUGGGAUAACUGCGGGAAACUGUAGCUAAUACCGGAUACGACCCUCGGAGGCAUCUCCUGGGGGUGGAAAGAAUUUCGGUCAAGGAUGGACUCGCGGCCUAUCAGCCAGUUGGUGAGGUAAAGGCUCACCAAGGCGACGACGGGUAGCCGGCCUGAGAGGGUGAGCGGCCACACUGGGACUGAGACACGGCACAGACUCCUACGGGAGGCAGCAGUGGGGAAUAUUGCACAAUGGGCGCAAGCCUGAUGCAGCAACGCCGCGUGAGGGAUGACGGCCUUCGGGUUGUAAACCUCUUUUAGCAGGGAAGAAGCGAAAGUGACGGUACCUGCAGAAAAAGCACCGGCUAACUACGUGCCAGCCGCCGCAGUAA
This 484-nucleotide ribosomal RNA is filed under the name uncultured bacterium. Its description in RNAcentral is "partial 16S ribosomal RNA". It matches the Rfam family "Bacterial small subunit ribosomal RNA", at positions 28 to 523 of the family's 1533-position model. The record is from RNAcentral.